RNAcentral lists this ribosomal RNA (515 nucleotides) under Anomala pseudoeucoma. Its description in RNAcentral is "partial 16S ribosomal RNA". It matches the Rfam family "Bacterial large subunit ribosomal RNA", at positions 1819 to 2600 of the family's 2925-position model. The record is from RNAcentral. Lineage: Eukaryota; Metazoa; Arthropoda; Insecta; Coleoptera; Scarabaeidae.
GUCUUUUUGAGUAUAAUUUAAAGUCUGACCUGCCCAAUGAGUAUUUGAAUGGCCGCGGUAAUUUGACCGUGCAAAGGUAGCAUAAUCAUUAGUUUUUUAAUUGAAAGCUGGAAUGAACGGUUGGACGAGAAAAUAACUGUCUCAAUUUAAUUGAAUAUAGAAUUUUAUAUGUAAGUAAAAAAGCUUACAUGAUUUUAAAAGACGAGAAGACCCUAUAGAGUUUUAUAUUUUACUAUAUUAAUUAUUUUUAGUAUGUUUAUAUUUUUGAUAUAGUAAUAUAUUUUGCUGGGGCAGCAGAAAAAUUAGAUAAACUUUUUUUUAUUAAUAAAACAUUGAUUUAUGAUUGUAUGAUCCAUUUUUUAUGAUUAUAAGAUUAAAUUACCUUAGGGAUAACAGCGUAAUUUUUUUUUAGAGUUCUUAUCGAAAAAAGAGUUUGCGACCUCGAUGUUGGAUUAAAAUUAACUUUUGGUGUAGGGGCUAAAAGGUUAGGUCUGUUCGACCUUUAAAAUUUUACA